This 64-nucleotide transfer RNA is filed under the name Candidatus Wolfebacteria bacterium. RNAcentral's name for it is "tRNA-Ser". It matches the Rfam family "tRNA". Rfam says of the family: Transfer RNA (tRNA) molecules are approximately 80 nucleotides in length. Their secondary structure includes four short double-helical elements and three loops (D, anti-codon, and T loops). Further hydrogen bonds mediate the characteristic L-shaped molecular structure. tRNAs have two regions of fundamental functional importance: the anti-codon, which is responsible for specific mRNA codon recognition, and the 3' end, to which the tRNAs corresponding amino acid is attached (by aminoacyl-tRNA synthetases). tRNAs cope with the degeneracy of the genetic code in two manners: having more than one tRNA (with a specific anti-codon) for a particular amino acid; and 'wobble' base-pairing, i.e. permitting non-standard base-pairing at the 3rd anti-codon position. Lineage: Bacteria; Candidatus Wolfeibacteriota. The record is from RNAcentral.
GGACUCAUAGCUCAGUUGGUUAGAGCGNNAGAGGUCACAGGUUCGAAUCCUGUUGGGUCCACCU